RNAcentral lists this ribosomal RNA (1537 nucleotides) under Escherichia coli. RNAcentral describes it as "partial 23S ribosomal RNA". It matches the Rfam family "Bacterial large subunit ribosomal RNA", at positions 165 to 1744 of the family's 2925-position model. Lineage: Bacteria; Pseudomonadati; Pseudomonadota; Gammaproteobacteria; Enterobacterales; Enterobacteriaceae. The record is from RNAcentral.
CAUAGGUUAAUGAGGCGAACCGGGGGAACUGAAACAUCUAAGUACCCCGAGGAAAAGAAAUCAACCGAGAUUCCCCCAGUAGCGGCGAGCGAACGGGGAGCAGCCCAGAGCCUGAAUCAGUGUGUGUGUUAGUGGAAGCGUCUGGAAAGGCGCGCGAUACAGGGUGACAGCCCCGUACACAAAAAUGCACAUGCUGUGAGCUCGAUGAGUAGGGCGGGACACGUGGUAUCCUGUCUGAAUAUGGGGGGACCAUCCUCCAAGGCUAAAUACUCCUGACUGACCGAUAGUGAACCAGUACCGUGAGGGAAAGGCGAAAAGAACCCCGGCGAGGGGAGUGAAAAAGAACCUGAAACCGUGUACGUACAAGCAGUGGGAGCCUCUUUAUGGGGUGACUGCGUACCUUUUGUAUAAUGGGUCAGCGACUUAUAUUCUGUAGCAAGGUUAACCGAAUAGGGGAGCCGAAGGGAAACCGAGUCUUAACUGGGCGUUAAGUUGCAGGGUAUAGACCCGAAACCCGGUGAUCUAGCCAUGGGCAGGUUGAAGGUUGGGUAACACUAACUGGAGGACCGAACCGACUAAUGUUGAAAAAUUAGCGGAUGACUUGUGGCUGGGGGUGAAAGGCCAAUCAAACCGGGAGAUAGCUGGUUCUCCCCGAAAGCUAUUUAGGUAGCGCCUCGUGAAUUCAUCUCCGGGGGUAGAGCACUGUUUCGGCAAGGGGGUCAUCCCGACUUACCAACCCGAUGCAAACUGCGAAUACCGGAGAAUGUUAUCACGGGAGACACACGGCGGGUGCUAACGUCCGUCGUGAAGAGGGAAACAACCCAGACCGCCAGCUAAGGUCCCAAAGUCAUGGUUAAGUGGGAAACGAUGUGGGAAGGCCCAGACAGCCAGGAUGUUGGCUUAGAAGCAGCCAUCAUUUAAAGAAAGCGUAAUAGCUCACUGGUCGAGUCGGCCUGCGCGGAAGAUGUAACGGGGCUAAACCAUGCACCGAAGCUGCGGCAGCGACGCUUAUGCGUUGUUGGGUAGGGGAGCGUUCUGUAAGCCUGUGAAGGUGUGCUGUGAGGCAUGCUGGAGGUAUCAGAAGUGCGAAUGCUGACAUAAGUAACGAUAAAGCGGGUGAAAAGCCCGCUCGCCGGAAGACCAAGGGUUCCUGUCCAACGUUAAUCGGGGCAGGGUGAGUCGACCCCUAAGGCGAGGCCGAAAGGCGUAGUCGAUGGGAAACAGGUUAAUAUUCCUGUACUUGGUGUUACUGCGAAGGGGGGACGGAGAAGGCUAUGUUGGCCGGGCGACGGUUGUCCCGGUUUAAGCGUGUAGGCUGGUUUUCCAGGCAAAUCCGGAAAAUCAAGGCUGAGGCGUGAUGACGAGGCACUACGGUGCUGAAGCAACAAAUGCCCUGCUUCCAGGAAAAGCCUCUAAGCAUCAGGUAACAUCAAAUCGUACCCCAAACCGACACAGGUGGUCAGGUAGAGAAUACCAAGGCGCUUGAGAGAACUCGGGUGAAGGAACUAGGCAAAAUGGUGCCGUAACUUCGGGAGAA